RNA transcript from Panicum virgatum (switchgrass), 5559 nucleotides. It is a transcript of the gene named endoribonuclease Dicer homolog 3a-like, with no coding region annotated. The transcript has 27 exons. The record is from RefSeq and is a predicted model, not a curated record. NCBI's taxonomy places the organism in Eukaryota, Viridiplantae, Streptophyta, Magnoliopsida, Poales, Poaceae.
GCCCUUGCUCGGGCCGGCAGGCGCGCGGCUCCACCGCCCGCCCCCCCACUCGCCGGUGGCGACUUGGCCCGCCGCCGCCCGCUCGCCCGUCGCUGAUUCCAGGGGCCACCGCCGGCGUGCCGCCCCUGCUAGGCCGCCCAGGCACGGCGCCCUUGCUCCUCCGCCUCCCUGCUUCAGGCCGAGAUCCGCCCACUCCAGGAAAGUACUACCUCGUUGACUCGGGAUGUCCUAACAGGAAGGGUUUUCUUUCACCAUACAAAGGAGAGAAAUACCAUUUACCAGAGUUUCGACAAGGUCCGGGACCAAAAGACAUGAAUCCUUCGAAGAGGCCAUCCGAAUCAUUCAUUCAAGAAGAUGAAGCAGGGAUGCAUAAACGGCAGAAGAGGGAGUGUCAGGAUUUCACCCCCAGAAGGUACCAGCUUGAUCUUUAUGAGGUUGCAACGCGUCAGAACACAAUUGCGAUGCUUGACACAGGAGCUGGGAAGACAAUGAUUGCUGUCAUGCUCAUCGAGCAUUUUGGGAUGAUCAGCAAAACAAAUAAUGACCGAAAGCUCAUCAUAUUCCUUGCGCCAACAGUUCAACUUGUCACACAGCAAUGUGAGGUGAUUAAGAGAUACACUGAUUUUGAGGUGGAGCACUAUCAUGGUGCGAAGGGUGUUGAUCAAUGGAAUGCUUACAGCUGGCAAGAACAACUUGCAAAAUAUCAGGUUGUGGUCAUGACACCACAGGUGCUGCUAGAUGCUUUACGCCAAGCUUUCUUGAUCUUAGACAUGGUUAGUCUCCUGAUAUUUGAUGAAUGCCAUCAUGCAGCUGGUAACCACCCUUAUACAAGGAUAAUGAAGGAGUUCUAUCACAGAUCUGAGCAUAAGCCAAAUGUGUUUGGUAUGAUAGCAUCACCUGUUAUAAGGAAAGGUGUCUCUUCUGAUUUGGACUGCGAAAAUCAGCUCUCUGAGCUGGAAAAUAUUUUAGAUUCCAAGAUACACACUGUGGUGGAUAGAGAAGAGAUUGAACUUUGCGUUCCUUCGGCAAAAGAGGUGAACAGAUACUAUGAGCCAAGAACUGUUUCAUUUGAAGAUUUAAGUGCAGAACUAGGAAUUUUAUAUUCCAAGUAUGAUGGGCUGAUAGCACAAUUGCAUAGUACGCUGACCAAUCAAUACAAAGAUGCUGAUCAAAUAACAAAGGAAUCACGGAGGCGUCUCUCUAAUUCUUUAGCAAAGAUUUGCUAUUGUCUUGAAGAUGUCGGUCUUCUUUGUGCGAGUGAGGCUACAAAAAUUUGCAUCGAAAGGGGUCACAGAAAGGGUUGGCUGAAGGGAGGUGGUGACGCCACCGAUCAGCAAAGUGAUGCAUAUGGAUCAGGCUUGUUUGGAGAAAAUUCAAUGAUUCAUAUGAAGUUCUUUGAGGAAGUGUUGCGUAUAAUUGACAAACGCCUCCAACAGCAACAAGGAAUGGAUGCAAUUUUGAACUCAGAGAGUGGAUGUGUGGAAGCAGCAAAGGGGGGCUAUAUUUCACCGAAGCUUCAUGAGCUCAUCCAAGUAUUUCUCUCUUUCAGUGACUUUGAUAAUGUCUGAUGCCUUAUUUUUGUGGAUCGAAAGAUUAUUGCCAGAGUCAUUGAGCGCACUAUGAAGAAAAUUGGCCGACUCGCAUAUUUCAGAAUCUCUUUUCUAACUGGUGGGAGUUCUUCUAUGGAUGCACUGACCCCUAAAGAGCAAAAAGACACACUCGAUUCAUUCCGUUCUGGAAAGGUCAACUUACUAUUUACUACAGAUGUUGCAGAAGAGGGUAUCCAUGUCCCAGACUGCUCGUGUGUAAUACGAUUUGAUUUGCCAAAGACUACCCGCAGCUAUGUGCAGUCACGAGGACGAGCCCGGCAGAAGGACUCUCAGUACAUACUAAUGAUUGAACAGGGAAAUGUGAAACAAAAUGACUUAAUAUCUGCCCUUAUGAGAAGUAAGACAUCGAUGGCCAAGAUUGCUUCAAACUGAGAGCCUGAGGAUUCACACCCCAGUUUCUUUCCCACUGAAGAAAUAAAUGAAUACCAUAUAGGCACAACAGGAGCCAAAAUAACUACUGAUUCCAGCAUCAGUGUUCUCUACCAGUAUUGUGACAAACUUCCAAAGGACAAGUACUACACCCCAAGACCCACGUUUCAGUUCACCCAUUAUGGUGAUGGUUAUGAGUGUACAGUAACAUUACCAUCUAGUGCCAUGUUUCAGCUUUUAGUAGGUCCAAAAGCAAGAAGCAUGCAGAAAGCAAAGCAGCUAGCUUGCCUUGAUGCAUGUAAGAGGCUGCAUCAGCUGGGAGCACUUGAUGACCACCUUUCUCCAUCCGCUGAAGAGCCGCAAUUGGAAAAUUUGAGCAAAGCUAGUAUCUGCUCAUCCGGUGCAGGUUUAGGUACAACCAAACGGAAAGAACUGCAUGGUACAACCAAGGUUCUUUCUAUGUCUGGCUCUUGGGCUUCAGAUAGAAGUGUUACUAAGCUUCAAGGUUACAAGUUGAAUUUUAUUUGUGAUCAAGUUGGCCAGAAAUACUCUGACUAUGUCCUGUUAAUUGAUGCAAAUAUAGCAAAAGAAGCAGCCACUUUGGAUAUUGAUCUAUAUUUGCAUGACAAGAUGGUAAAGGCUUCAGUUUCUCCAUGUGGACCUCUUGAGUUGGAUGCUCAGCAGAUGGAACAAGCAAAACUAUUUCAAGCACUUCUCUUUAAUGGUUUGUUUGGAAAACUGUUCACUGGAUCAAAAGCAUCUAAAACCCCAAGGGAGUUUAUUCUCAAGAAAGAUGAUACAUUCCUUUGGGACAAUGCAAAUAUGUAUUUGCUUUUACCUGUGGAUCCUACUCCGGAUUCUCGUAAAAGUGUUUGCAUUAAUUGGAAUGUGAUUGAUGUUGCGGCUACAACUGUUGGACUUAUGAGGAGCAUUUAUUCGGAGGACCAACAGAACCUGAUUGAUAAACUUAAGCCUGAAAUUAAUGGCGGAGAUCUCAUUCAUUUGGCCAACAAGUCAUGUAAGGUUGAUGAUCUUAGAAAUACGGUAGCCCUAGCACUUCACACAGGGAAGAUGUAUACUGCUCUUGAUGUAGCUGAUUUAUGUGCCAAUAGCACAUUUGAUGGUGCUUCUGAUAAGAAAGAAGCAAAAUUUCAGACAUUUGCAGAAUAUUUUGAGAAGAAGUACAGCAUAUUUCUUCGUCAUCCCUCACAGCCAUUGCUAGUGUUGAAACCCACUCAUAAUCCUCACAACCUUCUUUCAUCAAAGAUCAGAGAUGAAGGCAACCGUGUGGAAAACAAAAACAGGGCCAAUAGCCUUGUUCACAUGCCUCCAGAACUGCUGAUUCCCCUUGAUUUACCUGCUGAUGUUUUGAGAGUAUUCUAUUUGUUUCCGUCUCUGAUGUAUCGAAUUGAGUCAUUAAUGCUAGCCAGCCAACUAAGAAGUGAUAUUGCAUACACAGGAUCUGAUAUAUCAAGCUUCCUGAUUCUGGAAGCUCUUACAACCCUUAGAUGCUGCGAGGACUUCUCUAUGGAGCGUUUAGAGUUACUGGGGGACUCUGUACUUAAGUAUGCAGUCAGUUCUGAUCUCUUCCUCAGAUUUCCUAAUAAACAUGAGGGGCAGUUAUCGUCCAGAAGGCAAGAAAUUAUAUGUAAUGCAACACUUCAUAGGUUUGGUAUUGAACGCAAGAUACAGAGUUACAUACGUGAUGCUGCAUUCGAUCCUCGUAGAUGGUGUGCACCUGGACAGCUGUCAAUCUGGCCCUGUCCUUGUGAAUGCCCAGUAAACUCUGAGGUUGUAACUGAGGAUAUUCAUAGGAUUGAUGACAAAUCUAUAAUUAUAGGCAAGGCGUGUGACAAGGGACACAGAUGUAUAUGUUCCAAAACCAUCUCUGAUUGUGUCGAGGCUUUAAUUGGGGCAUAUUAUGUGGGAGGGGGAUUAAGAGCAGCCUUUUUUGUUCUCAAAUGGUUGCAGAAUGAGAUUGAAAUUGAGGAAGACCUGAUUGUGAAAGCCAUGUUGAGUGCUUCUGCGUGGAAUUAUCUUCCAAAAGUUGAUGUAGUUGAAUUGCUUGAAGCAAAACUAGGCUAUGUUUUUUCGGUGAAAGGUUUGCUGAUAGAGGCUCUCACCCACCCAUCACAGCAAGAAUCAGGAGCAACAUACUGCUACCAGCGCUUGGAGUUCCUUGGCGAUGCAGUCUUGGAUAUUUUACUAACGCAGCACCUUUUCUUUAGUCAUAAAGACACUGAUGAGGGGGAGCUGACAGAUUUACGGUCUGCAUCAGUAAAUAAUGAGAAUUUUGCACAAGUUGCAGUAAGGCAUAAUCUCCACCACUUUCUCCAGCAUUCUUCUGGGCUUCUCCAAGACCAAAUCACUGAAUAUGUGAAUAGUCUGGAAGGUUCAUUCAUGGACAGAACCAGUUUUUUAUCCAGUGGAUCAUCUAGGGGGCCAAAAGUUCUAGGUGAUAUUGUAGAAAGUAUUGCAGGUGCAAUUCUUAUAGACACCAAAUUUGAUUUGGAUGUAGUUUGGAGGAUUUUCAAACCUCUUCUUUCCCCAAUUGUCACACCUGAGAAUCUGGAGUUACCCCCGUUCAGGGAACUUCAUCAGUGGUGUGACAAGAGUGGGUACUUUUUAGGAACUAAGUGUGAAAAUCGAGAAGACAACAUAAUGGCUAUUCUUAAUUUACAACUCAAGGACUUGCUUCUUGUGAGGCAAGGUCGUGGGAAGAACAAAGUAGAUGCAAAAGCACACGCAGCUUCCUUAUUGCUCAGGGAUCUGGAGGAAAAAGGGCUUGUGAUUCCAAAGAAUGCCAGCAGAACAGAACAAUCUGAGAAGAAAUAUGGCAGUCCAAAACAUCGCAAGAACUUGUUUGAUGCUAUGGUCACACAGAAUAUAGCACCACCUAGGCAAAAGGAUCUAACCAUGCCAAGUACUGCUUCCUGCUCUGUUUUUGAUAAACCAUUGGUUGUGAAGGUUAAGUUGAGUAAAGGAGGGCCUCGUAUAUCAUUGUACGAGUCAUGUAAAAAGUUUCAGUGGCCAAUGCCUACAUUUGAAUAUGUGAAAGUCCAACCAAGUGUGUGCCCCUCCUCUGGUGGUUCCUCACAAAAGGUUGCGCCUCAAGGGUUUGCAUUUGCUUCGACAAUAACAUUGCACAUACCAAAUGGCGAUGUCAUCAGCCUUACAGGAGAUGGGCGCCCGGAUAAAAAGAGCUCCCAGGAUUCUGCUGCGCUGCUCAUGCUCAUGCUCUAUGAGCUACAGCGGCGAGGUAGAUUCCAAGUCCAAGAAGUAUGAGGAGCCACCACAAAUUCGUGGUUUAGUUGUGAAAAGAUGUAAUGCUACGGUGAUUAUUCGCUUGGCCAUAUUGGAACAAUAGUACCACCAAACCAGCUGCCCCCCUCGCCGGUGUAGGAUAAUAAUGUAGCCGUGCUGGGCUGCUAGCUUCUGUUGUGUCCAUCUUGUGGAUUCAGACACGUCUUCUGUGGGCAUCUGGGACAGCUGUGUCCGCUGUCCGCUGUGAUGUGGGUACAUAUGCAAUUCGUAGUAACAAGCAUCAUCUCGGUUUCCAGAUUCGAAAUUUUACUAGAAA